UACGGGGGGGGCAAGCGUUGUUCGGAAUUACUGGGCGUAAAGGGCUCGUAGGUGGCCAACUAAGUCAGACGUGAAAUCCCUCAGCUUAACUAGGGAACUGCGUCCGAUACUGGUUGGCUUGAGUUUGGGAGAGGGAUGCGGAAUUCCAGGUGUAGCGGUGAAAUGCGUAGAUAUCUGGAGGAACACCGGUGGCGAAGGCGGCAUCCUGGACCAAUACUGACGCUGAGGAGCGAAAGCCAGGGGAGCAAACGGG
RNAcentral lists this ribosomal RNA (253 nucleotides) under uncultured bacterium. RNAcentral describes it as "partial 16S ribosomal RNA". It matches the Rfam family "Bacterial small subunit ribosomal RNA", at positions 524 to 776 of the family's 1533-position model. The record is from RNAcentral.